GACGAACCGUGCAAACGUUAUUCGGAAUCACUGGGCAUAAAGGGCGCGUAGGCGGCUCCAAAAGUCAGGGGUGAAAUCCGGCAGCUUAACUGUCGCAGUGCCUUUGAUACUGUGGAGCUAGAGGGAGGUAGGGGUCUGUGGAACUUCCGGUGGAGCGGUGAAAUGCGUUGAUAUCGGAAGGAACGCCGGUGGCGAAAGCGACGGACUGGAUCUCUUCUGACGCUGAGGCGCGAAAGCCAGGGGGGCAAACGGG
RNAcentral lists this ribosomal RNA (253 nucleotides) under uncultured bacterium. RNAcentral describes it as "partial 16S ribosomal RNA". It matches the Rfam family "Bacterial small subunit ribosomal RNA", at positions 524 to 776 of the family's 1533-position model. The record is from RNAcentral.